RNAcentral lists this ribosomal RNA (1494 nucleotides) under uncultured bacterium. RNAcentral's name for it is "bacterial SSU rRNA". It matches the Rfam family "Bacterial small subunit ribosomal RNA". The record is from RNAcentral.
AGAGUUUGAUCCUGGCUCAGGACGAACGCUGGCGGCGUGCCUAACACAUGCAAGUCGAACGGAGCUACUUUUGACGAUUUCUUCGGAAUGAAUUAGUUGUAGCUUAGUGGCGGACGGGUGAGUAACGCGUGAGUAACCUGCCUUUAAGAGGGGGAUAACGUUCUGAAAAGAACGCUAAUACCGCAUAACGUGCAGAAGUCGCAUGGCUUUUGUAUCAAAGAUUUAUCGCUUAAAGAUGGACUCGCGUCCGAUUAGUUAGUUGGUGAGGUAACGGCUCACCAAGACCGCGAUCGGUAGCCGGACUGAGAGGUUGAACGGCCACAUUGGGACUGAGACACGGCCCAGACUCCUACGGGAGGCAGCAGUGGGGGAUAUUGCGCAAUGGGGGAAACCCUGACGCAGCAACGCCGCGUGAAGGAAGAAGGUUUUCGGAUUGUAAACUUCUUUUAUUAAGGACGAACAAUGACGGUACUUAAUGAAUAAGCUCCGGCUAACUACGUGCCAGCAGCCGCGGUAAUACGUAGGGAGCGAGCGUUGUCCGGAUUUACUGGGUGUAAAGGGUGCGUAGGCGGCAUAGCAAGUCAGAUGUGAAAUGUAUGGGCUUAACCCAUGAACUGCAUUUGAAACUGCUAAGCUUGAGUGAAGUAGAGGUAGGCGGAAUUCCCUGUGUAGCGGUGAAAUGCGUAGAGAUAGGGAGGAACACCAGUGGCGAAGGCGGCCUACUGGGCUUUAACUGACGCUGAGGCACGAAAGCGUGGGUAGCAAACAGGAUUAGAUACCCUGGUAGUCCACGCUGUAAACGAUGAUUACUAGGUGUGGGGGGUCUGACCCCCUCCGUGCCGCAGUUAACACAAUAAGUAAUCCACCUGGGGAGUACGGCCGCAAGGUUGAAACUCAAAGGAAUUGACGGGGGCCCGCACAAGCAGUGGAGUAUGUGGUUUAAUUCGAAGCAACGCGAAGAACCUUACCAGGUCUUGACAUCCAGUAAAAACCUGAGAGAUCAGGUGUGAGCUUGCUCAUACUGAGACAGGUGGUGCAUGGUUGUCGUCAGCUCGUGUCGUGAGAUGUUGGGUUAAGUCCCGCAACGAGCGCAACCCUUGUGAUCAGUUACUAACGGGUAAUGCCGAGGACUCUGAUAAGACUGCCGGGGACAACUCGGAGGAAGGUGGGGGCGACGUCAAAUCAUCAUGCCCCUUAUGACCUGGGCUACACACGUGCUACAAUGGCCACUACAGAGAGCAGCGAGCUCGUAAGGGGGAGCUAAUCUCAAAAAUAACGUCUCAGUUCGGAUUGUAGUCUGCAACUCGACUACAUGAAGCUGGAAUCGCUAGUAAUCGCGAAUCAGAAUGUCGCGGUGAAUACGUUCCCGGGUCUUGUACACACCGCCCGUCACACCAUGGGAGUCAGUAACGCCCGAAGUCAGUGACUCAACCGCAAGGAGAGAGCUGCCGAAGGUGGGACCGAUAACUGGGGUGAAGUCGUAACAAGGUAACC